GAUGAAGAACGUAGCGAAAUGCGAUAACUAAUGUGAAUUGCAGAAUUCCGUGAAUCAUCGAGUCUUUGAACGCACAUUGCGCCCCCUGGUAUUCCGGGGGGCAUGCCUGUCCGAGCGUCAUUACAACCCUCAAGCCCGGCUUGUGUAAUGGGCGGCCGUCUCUCCCCCCGGGGGGAGACGCCCCCGGAACUCAGUGGGGAUGUCGCGAUACCGAAGCCUCAGCUAAUGGGUAAACCACAGCUGCAAUGGCCGCGGCCGGCGUCCGCCUUCCACGGUCCGUCCGCCUAGCGCGGGCGGCCUUCUCAAGGUUGACCUCGGAUCAGGUAGGGAUACCCGCUGAACUUAAGCAUAUCAAUAAGCGGAGGA
This 366-nucleotide unclassified non-coding RNA is filed under the name soil metagenome. RNAcentral's name for it is "partial contains 5.8S ribosomal RNA, internal transcribed spacer 2, and large subunit ribosomal RNA". The stretch from base 1 to 120 matches the Rfam family "5.8S ribosomal RNA", at positions 35 to 154 of the family's 154-position model. The record is from RNAcentral.